RNAcentral lists this ribosomal RNA (248 nucleotides) under uncultured bacterium. RNAcentral's name for it is "partial 16S ribosomal RNA". It matches the Rfam family "Bacterial small subunit ribosomal RNA", at positions 1253 to 1500 of the family's 1533-position model. The record is from RNAcentral.
GACCGCGAGGUGGAGCAAAUCUCAAAAAGACCGUCCCAGUUCGGAUCGCAGGCUGCAACCCGCCUGCGUGAAGUUGGAAUCGCUAAUAAUCGCGGAUCAGCAUGCCGCGGUGAAUACGUUCCCGGGCCUUGUACACACCGCCCGUCACACCAUGAGAGUCGGGAACACCCGAAGUCCGUAGCCUAACCGCAAGGGGGGCGCGGCCGAAGGUGGGUUCGAUAAUUGGGGUGAAGUCGUAACAAGGUAUC